RNAcentral lists this ribosomal RNA (2932 nucleotides) under Escherichia coli. RNAcentral's name for it is "bacterial LSU rRNA". It matches the Rfam family "Bacterial large subunit ribosomal RNA". The record is from RNAcentral. Lineage: Bacteria; Pseudomonadati; Pseudomonadota; Gammaproteobacteria; Enterobacterales; Enterobacteriaceae.
GGGUUGUGAGGUUAAGCGACUAAGCGUACACGGUGGAUGCCCUGGCAGUCAGAGGCGAUGAAGGACGUGCUAAUCUGCGAUAAGCGUCGGUAAGGUGAUAUGAACCGUUAUAACCGGCGAUUUCCGAAUGGGGAAACCCAGUGUGUUUCGACACACUAUCAUUAACUGAAUCCAUAGGUUAAUGAGGCGAACCGGGGGAACUGAAACAUCUAAGUACCCCGAGGAAAAGAAAUCAACCGAGAUUCCCCCAGUAGCGGCGAGCGAACGGGGAGGAGCCCAGAGCCUGAAUCAGUGUGUGUGUUAGUGGAAGCGUCUGGAAAGGCGCGCGAUACAGGGUGACAGCCCCGUACACAAAAAUGCACAUGCUGUGAGCUCGAUGAGUAGGGCGGGACACGUGGUAUCCUGUCUGAAUAUGGGGGGACCAUCCUCCAAGGCUAAAUACUCCUGACUGACCGAUAGUGAACCAGUACCGUGAGGGAAAGGCGAAAAGAACCCCGGCGAGGGGAGUGAAAAAGAACCUGAAACCGUGUACGUACAAGCAGUGGGAGCCUCUUUAUGGGGUGACUGCGUACCUUUUGUAUAAUGGGUCAGCGACUUAUAUUCUGUAGCAAGGUUAACCGAAUAGGGGAGCCGAAGGGAAACCGAGUCUUAACUGGGCGUUAAGUUGCAGGGUAUAGACCCGAAACCCGGUGAUCUAGCCAUGGGCAGGUUGAAGGUUGGGUAACACUAACUGGAGGACCGAACCGACUAAUGUUGAAAAAUUAGCGGAUGACUUGUGGCUGGGGGUGAAAGGCCAAUCAAACCGGGAGAUAGCUGGUUCUCCCCGAAAGCUAUUUAGGUAGCGCCUCGUGAAUUCAUCUCCGGGGGUAGAGCACUGUUUCGGCAAGGGGGUCAUCCCGACUUACCAACCCGAUGCAAACUGCGAAUACCGGAGAAUGUUAUCACGGGAGACACACGGCGGGUGCUAACGUCCGUCGUGAAGAGGGAAACAACCCAGACCGCCAGCUAAGGUCCCAAAGUCAUGGUUAAGUGGGAAACGAUGUGGGAAGGCCCAGACAGCCAGGAUGUUGGCUUAGAAGCAGCCAUCAUUUAAAGAAAGCGUAAUAGCUCACUGGUCGAGUCGGCCUGCGCGGAAGAUGUAACGGGGCUAAACCAUGCACCGAAGCUGCGGCAGCGACGCUUAUGCGUUGUUGGGUAGGGGAGCGUUCUGUAAGCCUGUGAAGGUGUACUGUGAGGUAUGCUGGAGGUAUCAGAAGUGCGAAUGCUGACAUAAGUAACGAUAAAGCGGGUGAAAAGCCCGCUCGCCGGAAGACCAAGGGUUCCUGUCCAACGUUAAUCGGGGCAGGGUGAGUCGACCCCUAAGGCGAGGCCGAAAGGCGUAGUCGAUGGGAAACAGGUUAAUAUUCCUGUACUUGGUGUUACUGCGAAGGGGGGACGGAGAAGGCUAUGUUGGCCGGGCGACGGUUGUCCCGGUUUAAGCGUGUAGGCUGGUUUUCCAGGCAAAUCCGGAAAAUCAAGGCUGAGGCGUGAUGACGAGGCACUACGGUGCUGAAGCAACAAAUGCCCUGCUUCCAGGAAAAGCCUCUAAGCAUCAGGUAACAUCAAAUCGUACCCCAAACCGACACAGGUGGUCAGGUAGAGAAUACCAAGGCGCUUGAGAGAACUCGGGUGAAGGAACUAGGCAAAAUGGUGCCGUAACUUCGGGAGAAGGCACGCUGAUAUGUAGGUGAAGUCCCUCGCGGAUGGAGCUGAAAUCAGUCGAAGAUACCAGCUGGCUGCAACUGUUUAUUAAAAACACAGCACUGUGCAAACACGAAAGUGGACGUAUACGGUGUGACGCCUGCCCGGUGCCGGAAGGUUAAUUGAUGGGGUUAGCGGUAACGCGAAGCUCUUGAUCGAAGCCCCGGUAAACGGCGGCCGUAACUAUAACGGUCCUAAGGUAGCGAAAUUCCUUGUCGGGUAAGUUCCGACCUGCACGAAUGGCGUAAUGAUGGCCAGGCUGUCUCCACCCGAGACUCAGUGAAAUUGAACUCGCUGUGAAGAUGCAGUGUACCCGCGGCAAGACGGAAAGACCCCGUGAACCUUUACUAUAGCUUGACACUGAACAUUGAGCCUUGAUGUGUAGGAUAGGUGGGAGGCUUUGAAGUGUGGACGCCAGUCUGCAUGGAGCCGGCCUUGAAAUACCACCCUUUAAUGUUUGAUGUUCUAACGUUGACCCGUGAUCCGGGUUGCGGACAGUGUCUGGUGGGUAGUUUGACUGGGGCGGUCUCCUCCUAAAGAGUAACGGAGGAGCACGAAGGUUGGCUAAUCCUGGUCGGACAUCAGGAGGUUAGUGCAAUGGCAUAAGCCAGCUUGACUGCGAGCGUGACGGCGCGAGCAGGUGCGAAAGCAGGUCAUAGUGAUCCGGUGGUUCUGAAUGGAAGGGCCAUCGCUCAACGGAUAAAAGGUACUCCGGGGAUAACAGGCUGAUACCGCCCAAGAGUUCAUAUCGACGGCGGUGUUUGGCACCUCGAUGUCGGCUCAUCACAUCCUGGGGCUGAAGUAGGUCCCAAGGGUAUGGCUGUUCGCCAUUUAAAGUGGUACGCGAGCUGGGUUUAGAACGUCGUGAGACAGUUCGGUCCCUAUCUGCCGUGGGCGCUGGAGAACUGAGGGGGGCUGCUCCUAGUACGAGAGGACCGGAGUGGACGCAUCACUGGUGUUCGGGUUGUCAUGCCAAUGGCACUGCCCGGUAGCUAAAUGCGGAAGAGAUAAGUGCUGAAAGCAUCUAAGCACGAAACUUGCCCCGAGAUGAGUUCUCCCUGACUCCUUGAGAGUCCUGAAGGAACGUUGAAGACGACGACGUUGAUAGGCCGGGUGUGUAAGCGCAGCGAUGCGUUGAGCUAACCGGUACUAAUGAACCGUGAGGCUUAACCUUACAACGCCGAAGGUGUUU